UACGUAGGGGGCUAGCGUUGUCCGGAAUCAUUGGGCGUAAAGCGCGCGUAGGCGGCCCGAUAAGUCCGCUGUAAAAGUCCAGGGCUCAACCCUGGAAUGCCGGUGGAUACUGUCGGGCUAGAGUCCGGAAGAGGCGACUGGAAUUCCUGGUGUAGCGGUGAAAUGCGCAGAUAUCAGGAGGAACACCGAUGGCGAAGGCAGGUCUCUGGGCCGAUACUGACGCUGAGGAGCGAAAGCGUGGGGAGCGAACAGG
This 253-nucleotide ribosomal RNA is filed under the name uncultured bacterium. Its description in RNAcentral is "partial 16S ribosomal RNA". It matches the Rfam family "Bacterial small subunit ribosomal RNA", at positions 524 to 776 of the family's 1533-position model. The record is from RNAcentral.